RNAcentral lists this ribosomal RNA (562 nucleotides) under Isagoras sp. TRB-2015. Its description in RNAcentral is "partial 28S ribosomal RNA". Lineage: Eukaryota; Metazoa; Arthropoda; Insecta; Phasmatodea; Pseudophasmatidae. The record is from RNAcentral.
GUACGUGAAACCGUUCAGGGGUAAACGGGAGAAAUCCUGAAUUCGAAAGGGGCGGGAUUCAAGUCCAUCCUGGUAGGCUUCGGCCUUUAAAAAUCGGGCCGUCUUGCCCCGCCAGAUGGCGUCGGUCGCCCGCGGGUCGAUUCACUUCGCUCGCGGUGUCGUUCCCGGCCGUCACUCGGCGGGGUGUCGGACUCCGGUACCGGAGGACGGCACUUCCACCCUUUGUAGAAACGUCGCGACCCGUUGGGUGCCGGUCUCAAGGCCCGGGAAGGCAGACCGCGUCGUUCCGCGGGGGGUUCUCCCCUCGCGGGCGCGCGGACUCUCGGUGUCCCGGCCGGCUGCCCGACGGUACGACCAGAGGAGUCGAUCCGCUGAAAUGGGAAAAAACACUUGGGAAUGUGUAGCGUCCGGCCCGGUGCCGAUGCGCGAGAGUGUGAAUGGGUGAAAGAUAUCAGCGGGUGCCCGUGCCAAGCACGGCCCCGAACUCUCCGCGUCUUCGGUUUCAUACCGGUGUCCUCGGACAGGAUCGAUACUCCCGUCGGCGACGCCCACCUUCGGAUGG